CCUACGGGGGGCAGCAGUGAGGAAUAUUGGUCAAUGGACGAGAGUCUGAACCAGCCAAGUAGCGUGAAGGAUGACUGCCCUAUGGGUUGUAAACUUCUUUUAUAUGGGAAUAAAAUGUUCCACGUGUGGGAUUUUGUAUGUACCAUAUGAAUAAGGAUCGGCUAACUCCGUACCAGCAGCCGCGGUAAUACGGAGGAUCCGAGCGUUAUCCGGAUUUAUUGGGUUUAAAGGGAGCGUAGGUGGAUUGUUAAGUCAGUUGUGAAAGUUUGUGGCUCAACCGUAAAAUUGCAGUUGAAACUGGCAGUCUUGAGUACAGUAGAGGUGGGCGGAAUUCGUGGUGUAGCGGUGAAAUGCUUAGAUAUCACGAAGAACUCCGAUUGCGAAGGCAGUUCACUGGACUGCAACUGACACUGAGGCUCGAAAGUGUGGGUAUCAAACAGGAUUAGAUACCCCUGUAGUC
This 460-nucleotide ribosomal RNA is filed under the name uncultured bacterium. Its description in RNAcentral is "partial 16S ribosomal RNA". It matches the Rfam family "Bacterial small subunit ribosomal RNA", at positions 338 to 795 of the family's 1533-position model. The record is from RNAcentral.